GGAAACGGUUGCUAAGACUGGAUAGGAAAUUAAAAGGCAUCUUUUAAUUUUUAAAAGACCUUUUUCGGAAGGUAUGCUUAAAGAGGGGCUUGCGCCACAUUAGUUAGUUGGUAAGGUAAAGGCUUACCAAGACGAUGAUGUGUAGCUGGACUGAGAGGUUGAACAGCCACAUUGGGACUGAGACACGGCCCAAACUCCUACGGGAGGCAGCAGUAAGGAAUUUUUGGCAAUGGAGGAAACUCUGACCGAGCGACGCCGCGUGAACAAUGAAGUACUUCGGUAUGUAAAGUUCUUUUAUUGAAAAAGAAAAAAUAGUGGAAAAACUAUCUUGACAUUAUUCAAUGAAUAAGCCCCGGCUAAUUAUGUGCCAGCAGCCGCGGUAAUACAUAAGGGGCGAGCGUUAUCCGGAAUUAUUGGGCGUAAAGGGUGCGUAGGCGGUUUGAUAAGUCUAUAGUUUAAUUGCAGUGCUUAACGCUGUACCGCUAUAGAAACUGUCUGACUAGAGUUAGAUAGAGGCAAGCGGAAUUCCAUGUGUAGCGGUAAAAUGCGUAAAUAUAUGGAGGAACACCAGAGGCGUAGGCGGCUUGCUGGGUCUUAACUGACGCUGAGGCACGAAAGCGUGGGGAGCAAACAGGAUUAGAUACCCUGGUAGUCCACGCCGUAAACGAUGAGUACUAAGUGUCGGGUUUUGGCUCGGUACUGAAGUUAACACAUUAAGUACUCCGCCUGAGUAGUACGUACGCAAGUAUGAAACUUAAAGGAAUUGACGGGACCCCGCACAAGCGGUGGAUCAUGUUGUUUAAUUCGAAGAUACACGAAAAACCUUACCAGGUCUUGACAUAAUUUUGCGACAUUAUAGAAAUAUAAUGAAGGUUAUCAGAAUUACAGGUGGUGCAUGGUUGUCGUCAGCUCGUGUCGUGAGAUGUUAAGGUUAAGUCCUAAAACGAGCGCAACCCUUGUCGUUAGUUGCGACCACAUAAUGGUGAGCACUUUAGCGAGACUGCCAAUGAAAAAUUGGAGGAAGGUGAGGAUUACGUCAAAUCAUCAUGCCCCUUAUGAUCUGGGCUACAAACGUGAUACAAUGGCUUUUACAAAGAGUAGCUACAACGUGAGUUUUUAGCCAAUCUCAAAAAAACAGUCUCAGUUCGGAUUGAAGUCUGCAACUCGACUUCAUGAAGUUGGAAUCGCUAGUAAUCGCGAAUCAGCAUGUCGCGGUGAAUACGUUCUCGGGGUUUGUACACACCGCCCGUCAAA
RNAcentral lists this ribosomal RNA (1254 nucleotides) under Candidatus Phytoplasma phoenicium. Its description in RNAcentral is "bacterial SSU rRNA". It matches the Rfam family "Bacterial small subunit ribosomal RNA", at positions 152 to 1401 of the family's 1533-position model. Lineage: Bacteria; Bacillati; Mycoplasmatota; Mollicutes; Acholeplasmatales; Acholeplasmataceae. The record is from RNAcentral.